This is a non-coding RNA of Podarcis lilfordi (Lilford's wall lizard), 73 nucleotides long. NCBI's taxonomy places the organism in Eukaryota, Metazoa, Chordata, Lepidosauria, Squamata, Lacertidae. The record is from the annotation of a GenBank genome assembly.
GCUGGGAUAGCUCAGCUGGUAGAGCACGAGGCUCUUAAUCUCAGGGCUGUGAGUUCGAGCCCCACACUGGGCA